GUGCCAGCCGCCGCGGUAAAACGUAGGUGGCAAGCGUUAUCCGGAUUUACUGGGCGUAAAGCGUGUGCAGGCGGGAUCACAAGUGGUGUAUGAAAGCCUCCGGCUUAACCGGGGGAGGUUAUGCCAGACUGUGGUUCUGGAGGCUGAGAGAGGGACAUGGAAUUCCGGGUGUAGUGGUGAAAUGCGUAGAGAUCCGGAGGAACUCCAGAGGCGAAGGCGGUGUCCUGGCUCAGACCUGACGCUCAGACACGAAAGCAUGGGUAGCGAACGGGAUUAGAUACCCGCGUAGUCC
Molecule: ribosomal RNA, 292 nt
Filed under: uncultured bacterium
Lineage: Bacteria
Description: partial 16S ribosomal RNA
Rfam family: Bacterial small subunit ribosomal RNA
Source: RNAcentral